This 253-nucleotide ribosomal RNA is filed under the name uncultured bacterium. Its description in RNAcentral is "partial 16S ribosomal RNA". It matches the Rfam family "Bacterial small subunit ribosomal RNA", at positions 524 to 776 of the family's 1533-position model. The record is from RNAcentral.
GACAGAGGUGCCAAGCGUUAGGCGGAAUCACUGGGCUUAAAGCGUGCGUAGGUGGAUCGUUAAGUGCCUUGUGAAAUCCCACGGCUCAACCGUGGAACUGCUUGGCAUACUGGCGGUCUUGAGCCAUUCAGGGGCUACUGGAACAAACGGUGGAGCGGUGAAAUGCGUAGAUAUCGUUUGGAACGCCAAAGGUGAAAACAGGUAGCUGGGGAUGUGCUGACACUGAGACACGAAAGCCAGGGGAGCAAACGGG